This 604-nucleotide long non-coding RNA is filed under the name Anas platyrhynchos platyrhynchos (common mallard). Its description in RNAcentral is "lncRNA (ENSAPLG00000023111.1)". The record is from RNAcentral. Lineage: Eukaryota; Metazoa; Chordata; Aves; Anseriformes; Anatidae.
GAAUGGUUGCAGCCAGUAAGAUAUAAUAGAUUCAAGCUUGAAGCAAACCUGUUCUUUCCGCUUCUCAUGUGUGGAGAAACAGGUUACGGCUUACUGAUCCCAACCCAACUCAGCAGGAAAGUGAUGUCAGUCCAUAAGGAUGAACAUUAUGGAAUGAGAAUGACUACUGCAGAGGCCAAGAACAGGAUAGAUAUGGAUCACUUUUCCUCACAAAGCAGAAAUGAGUUGGUGCCCACUUCAGGCCUGCUUUAUUGCAUAUAGGAAGAAAUUUCCACUGACGUUGGUGGGAAACACAUCCCAGCUGCUAAGGUACUCCAAAUUUGCCUCGGUUCCCAGGCAUCAAAGGGAUUUUUCUGUAACAGUAUAUUAUCAGAUGACUGUUAUUUUGAGUUCCCCUUUUGUCCAACAAAAUGUGGAUUUCAUAAAGAGACUGAAGAAUAAACAUUUUGAGAUAAGUAUCAUUUGGAUAUUUUUGAGUCAAAAUGAGCAAAAACCUUUGAAGGCAUUUCGUGGGGCCCAGCUGUAUCUUCUAAUUGUUCACAUGAAAGAUUGUAUAUGUGGGAGUUUUAUGUUAAGAGUAUUUACAGCAUUAAAUGACAUUUAA